RNAcentral lists this long non-coding RNA (881 nucleotides) under Medicago truncatula (barrel medic). RNAcentral describes it as "long non-coding RNA (MTRU_LNC003551)". Lineage: Eukaryota; Viridiplantae; Streptophyta; Magnoliopsida; Fabales; Fabaceae. The record is from RNAcentral.
AUCAUUGUCCUUUAUGAUAGGGUGAUACUGAUCACAUGCAUAUAAACUGAUUCAAAAUGAAAAUUGGACCAUAUUGAUGCAAGACUUCGCACACUACACUGCACAAAUGGACAAUGACAUAGGUUGAGAACGGAGAAAUGCUAGGACGAUAGUGGUAAGGUAGGAGCUCAUCAGCCACAUUUGGAAUUGGUGUGGACGAAUUCAUAACCAAAAACGUCCUCUUGGGACCACACUGACUAGUGACAAACGUUGAUGCUCAUUCUUCUUGAAUGGUUUGGGAUGAUGACUCCUCUAUAAAUGGGGAGGGUGGUGUACCUGCAAACACUCUAACGAUCAAGUCAAUCAAAUGUAAUGAAUGUGAUGGUUUUAAGAUUUAAAUAUUGUGUACCCUCGACUUGAUUAAUAAGUUAGCAUAUCUAGGAGGAAGAUUAGGCCUGGUUUGUAUGACAAAAGAUGGAUAUAACUAUGUUGGAUGACGUAUGUAGACAAAUCAUGAUUUGUAAUAAGUUAGUGACCUAAAGGAGCAGUUUUUUUUUCUUCUACGCCAGUUUUGACUUGUCCCAGUUCAGAACAACAAUUCACAUUCCUUUAACUUUGGUUUUAGUAAUCGUACUAUAAGAUAUAAUGUGAAAAUGACUCAAAACUUGACCCAUUUAAGAAUUCACUCGUUUGAGCACGUUUUGAGUAUAACAAAUAUUUUAAGAUAAUCUAAAAUCUCGGACGUGAGAGAUCUAUAAGAGCAAACAUUGAAUAUUGAGAACGUGGAGAUCUUAUAACAAUGUAUUAAAUUUAAAUUAAUUCAGUUGAAUUACCUAAUAAGAAUGAAUAGAGCAACAUUGUGAUAUAUUGAAAUCAGCAUACUAUAUGAUAUUUCCUUGAAG